UUCAAUGUGUCCAGAACAUGCGGAAGUACUUACGUGACUGACUUUGUUCACAACUCAAGAACUGUAAGUUCAAUGCAUUCUAAUUUCUUUUCGGAGCCCUAUCCCGAACGAUUAUCGCCAGAAAACAGGUCAGUAAAACUGAAGGCCAGUGCAGAUACUACCACGAAAGCUAAAAGUGUUAAGAUAAAGUUUAAUUUUGAUGUAGAAGGCUCAGAGGAAAGUGAGAAACUAAUGUAUGCAGGAUUACCUGCUCCAGCACAGCAAGGAAGUUUCAGAGGACGGAAGGAUAAAAGUAGAGAUAUGUGUUUUUAUUGUGGCUCAGUUUUCCAGCAGCCGCAGACACCCAGAGCAAAAAUGAAUUUGUGUAUUUCAUUUAACAUAAAGGGUGAAAUGUUUGCUGACACUGAUAACAGCUUAUGUUUUCUCUGCCCUAUGUAUCGACAUGAUGGAGAAGGGACAUCCUCUGUGUCAGCUGGACCCUCAGCAGAGAAUGAACUCAACAUCCUUUUUGUCCGGUACUCUAUGUCACACACUGUGCCAAAAAACGUGUACAGACGCCACUACCAGGUAAUCCCAUGACUGGGAGCCACACUUUUGUUUCUCUCACACUGUUCAACAACAUGAUAACUGCUCACA
RNAcentral lists this small RNA (636 nucleotides) under Astatotilapia latifasciata. RNAcentral's name for it is "BncRNA1". Lineage: Eukaryota; Metazoa; Chordata; Actinopteri; Cichliformes; Cichlidae. The record is from RNAcentral.